UGCCUCCCCGCAUCCCCUAGGGCAUUGGUGUGAAGCUGGAGACCCACUGCCCCAGGUGCUGCUGGGGGU
Molecule: microRNA precursor, 69 nt
Filed under: Suricata suricatta (meerkat)
Lineage: Eukaryota; Metazoa; Chordata; Mammalia; Carnivora; Herpestidae
Description: miRNA (ENSSSUG00005012372.1)
Rfam family: mir-324 microRNA precursor family
Source: RNAcentral